This 1743-nucleotide small RNA is filed under the name Drosophila pseudoobscura pseudoobscura. Its description in RNAcentral is "GA32339". Lineage: Eukaryota; Metazoa; Arthropoda; Insecta; Diptera; Drosophilidae. The record is from RNAcentral.
UUUACAGAACCUCAUUGAUGUCCAUCACGCAUUACAGUUUCUCAGUCUAACUAAGCCACUAUUUUAUAGUUGCUGUCUUUUUAUGAAAUUCUCUUUAAUUUUUAGAUGUUUAAAUGAUUAGAUAUGUAUGUAUACUCUCUGAUACGAAUUUUCUUUAUUUUUUAUACAGAAACAAGAAACCACAGGACUGCGCCUAUCCCGAACUCUGCGAGCUGUAACCGCAGCCGCUAUCUGAAGAUAUUUUUGCAGACACAAUUACAGGGCGAUUUCAAGUGCUCCAUAAUACAUUCGAUUUCUCGCCCAAUCUUUGAAGAAAAACAUGCCCAAUGAGACCUGUUCCAUAUAAUAUCUAGCUUCUAGCAUACUCUACCAACGGGAAUCAGAGAAUAGAGAGAAUCAGAGAGCGGAGCAUUUGAUAUAACGAAAUACAAGCAGCAUCUUUGAGCCUUCUUCUUCUUCUUCUUCUGGCGCUGCACAUCCCGGCAAAGCAUUAUCUUUUCCUCUAAGUGCCAAAAACGAUGCAGCAGCUGAAUCUCUGGCCACACACCCGCCCUCUAUCUUCAUCAUCGUCAUCGCCAUCGUCAUACACAGAAACUAAAACGGGAGAGCUCUUAAAGAAGGAACAACUUUUGGCCCAGUAAUGGCUUCAUAACACGCAACAUUACAGGGCAAUAGAAGUACGGCGCGGCGUGGAACGGCACGGGGGCGUGGCCGGGCAACUAAAUUUUUGAAGUGAUCCCCGCUUUGGGUAUUGUUGUCUACUGGCUGUGCAACUUCGUAAUUUUCCCACGCUGCGGAAUGUUUCUACACGGAAGACGCAUAAUUAUUGGAUUCGGCUUAUUUCUGGAAAAUGUACAAGUAAGCGCUCAGCAUGGGAUCUCCAACUAACGUCUCCUGUGCCUUGAUGUGCCACAUCAGCUGAUCGGAAACUCGCGAAAGUCCCGCCAGCCCAUCAUUAUGAGCAGCUCGAUGCCCGACGAUGUGAUUGGAAUCGGAGGACUCGCCUCUCCCCUACAGCCAUCGACGGCUUCAGCGAUCACCAAAGAUCAUCUGCUGGUGGCAAUGCUUCAGACGAGUUGCAAAAGCGAGAUCUCAUCGAAGGCGAACUCACGGAACAAUCUGCCGAAAACAGUUUCACUUAAGGAAGCCAUGUGUUGUCGUUGACAAUAUUGUGGUGAAUGUAGCCAUACAUAAUGGCCCGCGCCAGCAUAAAGUAGAUGUCUAACAGGAGACAGCCGCUGUAACAGGAUACUGUAGGCCAGAUAAAUCCAAACCAUCUUCUUCACACGGAUUAGCCUGCUAUUGCCAGGAACAUGCCGGAUGGUCCCCAUAAGGCCAUAGACGCUCAGCUCGUAUCGAUAUAAGGAAGAUGUCGCGAUCUAUCGCGAUCGAUACUUCACCCACGAUCGCGUGCAUCGCGCCAGUGGGUAGUACACCGACAUCAUCUUCCCUGCAGCAACAUGCUUUGCCUCAUCGGCUUUGAACGGCCAUAGCUAUGAUGCCGCUGCUGUGCCGCUGAGUCGACAAUGUGGCGUCCCGUCCGCUACAGGGACAUAAUUUCAGCAACCAAACCAAACAAAUCAAACGCUGGGUAUCAGCUUCGAUACGCAGGACUUAUAUAUCCUACGGCGUAUUCGAGACAGGCCGAGUCCCAGCCAGGCAGAAUCGUCUCCCAUCAGGACAGAAUCGCAUCCCCUGCAAGAGCUCGAACCUAACAAGCCGUCAUCAUCUUUCGACCUGGCC